This is a long non-coding RNA of Felis catus (domestic cat), 1971 nucleotides long. RefSeq lists it as uncharacterized. Lineage: Eukaryota; Metazoa; Chordata; Mammalia; Carnivora; Felidae. The record is from RefSeq and is a predicted model, not a curated record. The transcript has 4 exons.
GUGCCCCCCCCCCCCCCCCGGGAGCCGCCCGGCGCUCUUAGAAUGAGCUCCAAACUCCGGCUCGGGGGCCGAGCCCCCGUGUGAGCCGACCCCUGCCCGCUCCGUCCUAGCCACAGCCACUUCUCCCUCUCCCCUUCCUCACCAGACCCCUCAUGUCUUCGGUGCUUUACACAGAUCUUCUGCACGAAACCCACUGAGCUCUCCCCUGGGCCGGACCUCCCCAGCGGGGGCCUUCGCUCACUCACACCUCUGCUGAGACCCCGCCCCCCUUCCCAUCCCUGACCUUCCCCUCCCUCUCCAGCACUGCCACAUCUGGCUUUCUGCAGCCUGGCACUUUUCACCCUCCCAAACGAUCUCGCUCACAUGUUUGUUCACUGGCGGGUUACCUGUCCCCUCUUAGCUCUCAGGUAGCCCCCGAGAGCGUGGACUUUGCCCAUCGUGCCCACUGCUGUGAUAUCGGUGCUAGGGGCCCGGCAGGCUUGCCAAGGCCAUUUGUUACCUGGAUGACUGCAUUGAAUAAUCAGCGCAACCUUAUGGGCCCUGUGUUAUGACUCAGCCCAUUUUACGGAUGAAAAAACUGAGGCAGAGGGAGGAGAAAUAAUUUGCCCAAAGGCACAGGAAUGGGGGGGAAAAAAUGAAGAGUCAGGAUUUGGGGUCCAAGAGCUGCUAAAUCCACAUGGAGCACGGACCAAGAAGGCUCAGCUGAGGACUUCGGGACAAAUCAGAAGGGAUCUGGAGGCUCCCCUGUCUGCGUUUCCUGGGUCAUUUUUGUUCCGGCAGAAGCCAGCGUUGUCUGGGAACCAAAGGAUCUGACUACAGAUGUUUCUCAUCAGCUCCACGAAGCUCUGCAAGCCUUUUAAUUUGGUCUCCAGUUCGGUCCGCCGGAGACACUCCGCAUCCAGGUCCUGAGGGUGGGAGCAGUGAACCUCCAUUUCCAGCAAGCUGUGCCUUCGGUCAAGUCUGCUCCAAGAUGCCCGCUCACCGCUCCCCCUCUCCCUCCACCUCGUCUGCUUUGCUCGCUGGUAGGACACCAUUCCAUCAUGGUCCCUCUGGACGGGAGAGUGUGGACAUUGCGGCCAGAGGGACCCACAGUGUGCUCUUGGGCAGGUGAAGCCCUCCUUCCUCGGCUCGCCUGUCUAUCAGGGGUGGGGUUGCAUGUGUGUGCACGUGUGGGGGUUGGACCAAGCCCACCCCUGAUGCAUGACAGAUAUUGCAGAGUCAGAACUCAACGCAGGUGGGUUCUCUCUCUUCUUAGAUUUGUCUCCUCCUUACUCAGGCCCACCUUGUGUUUGGAAUAAGAACGUUGCUGGAUGGGAGACGGGAUCUCUGGGUCACUGAUCUGAACCCCUGCCUCUAAUCUUGGCCCCUGGGGCUGAGGGUGAUGGGUGGAUGUGGGGAUUCUGCGCUUCCUGUUUUCAUCCCUCCUCCCCAGGGAAUGCCUGAAUCACUGGCGGCUCUAAUUACAGCCGCCCGCCUUCCCAGGUCCCUGACCUCACGGAGGCAGCAGCGUCACCCAUUGCCCACAGCAGCUGGCUGGCCCCCUCUUUUCCACCAGCCUCCCUGAGACACCCAGGGGAGUGGACCCAAGCCGACAAGAGCCCGCUGGGCACGGGGUCUCUGAAACUCCGUGUGCUGAGCACACGCCGGCUCCCCAGACACUGCCCUGGCUUCCGAGAGUCUGUCUGCAGGGCAGGGGGGCUCUUAGGAUGCAGGUCGUGGGGGUGGGGAGGAGGGUGGGCCAGGGAGACGGGCCUGCAGUCUGGGGCCCAGCAGAGCCCGGGAAGCCCGGGAAGUUUACUUGCACUCUUUCCUGUGCUAGCGGGCUCCAGAGCCACACUGCUGGGGCUCAGAUCCUGGCUCCUCGCUCCCUAGCCACGUGACCUUGAAGAAGCUGCUUGCGCGCCUCGGUCAUGAUAAUUGUGAUGUCACGAGGGUUAUAUAAGUUAAUACAUGGAGUGUUUACCAAGUGCA